This 401-nucleotide long non-coding RNA is filed under the name Homo sapiens (human). Its description in RNAcentral is "non-protein coding lnc-SYNJ2BP-1:4". The record is from RNAcentral. Lineage: Eukaryota; Metazoa; Chordata; Mammalia; Primates; Hominidae.
GAAACCGAAACCGCUGUGCUGUGGGCGCAGCGCCGAGAUUGAUUCACCUUCACCUGUGCUGCACUCCAGCUGACCCAAGUAGGAAGCCAGACGAGCUGUAAAACAUGAACGGAAGAGUGGAUUAUUUGGUCACUGAGGAAGAGAUCAAUCUUACCAGAGGGCCCUCAGUUGCUGAUUGUUGGAGGUUCUUUUGGUCUUCGUGAGUUUUCUCAAAUCCGAUAUGAUGCUGUGAAGAGUAAAAUGGAUCCUGAGCUUGAAAAAAAACUGAAAGAGAAUAAAAUAUCUUUAGAGUCGGAAUAUGAGAAAAUCAAAGACUCCAAGUUUGAUGACUGGAAGAAUAUUCGAGGACCCAGGCCUUGGGAAGAUCCUGACCUCCUCCAAGGAAGAAAUCCAGAAAGCCU